UACGGAGGGAGCUAGCGUUGUUCGGAAUUACUGGGCGUAAAGCGCGCGUAGGCGGCUUUGUAAGUUAGAGGUGAAAGCCCGGGGCUCAACCCCGGAAUUGCCUUUAAGACUGCAUCGCUAGAAUCCGGGAGAGGUGAGUGGAAUUCCGAGUGUAGAGGUGAAAUUCGUAGAUAUUCGGAAGAACACCAGUGGCGAAGGCGGCUUACUGGUCCGGUUCUGACGCUGAGGCGCGAAAGCGUGGGGAGCAAACAGG
RNAcentral lists this ribosomal RNA (253 nucleotides) under uncultured bacterium. Its description in RNAcentral is "partial 16S ribosomal RNA". It matches the Rfam family "Bacterial small subunit ribosomal RNA", at positions 524 to 776 of the family's 1533-position model. The record is from RNAcentral.